Molecule: ribosomal RNA, 510 nt
Filed under: uncultured bacterium
Lineage: Bacteria
Description: partial 16S ribosomal RNA
Rfam family: Bacterial small subunit ribosomal RNA
Source: RNAcentral
GACGAACGCUGGCGGCGUGCUUAACACAUGCAAGUCGAACGAAGAGCGAUGGAAGCUUGCUUCUAUCAAUCUUAGUGGCGAACGGGUGGGUAACGCGUAAUCAACCUGCCCUUCAGAGGGGGACAACAGUUGGAAACGACUGCUAAUACCGCAUACGAUCUAAUCUCGGCAUCGAGGAUAGAUGAAAGGUGGCCUCUACAUGUAAGCUAUCACUGCAGGUGGGUAUUGCGUCUGAUUAGCUAGUUGGAGGGGUAAAGGCCCACCAAGGCGAUGAUCAGUAGCCGGUCUGAGAGGAUGAACGGCCACAUUGGGACUGAGACACGGCCCAGACUCCUACGGGAGGCAGCAGUGGGGAAUCGUCCGGAAUGGACGAAAGUCUGACGGAGCAACGCCGCGUGAGUGAUGACGGCCUUCGGGUUGUAAAGGUCUGUUAAUCGGGACGAAAGGCCUUCUUGCGAAUAGUGAGAAGGAUUGACGGUACCGGAAUAGAAAGCCACGGCUAACUACGUG